GCUAACUUCGUGCCAGCAGCCGCGGUAAUACGAAGGGUGCAAGCGUUAAUCGGAAUUACUGGGCGUAAAGCGUGCGUAGGCGGUUUGUUAAGUCAGAUGUGAAAGCCCCGGGCUCAACCUGGGAACUGCAUUUGAUACUGGCAGGCUAGAGUACGGUAGAGGGUGGUGGAAUUCCCGGUGUAGCGGUGAAAUGCGUAGAGAUCGGGAGGAACAUCCGUGGCGAAGGCGGCCACCUGGACCAGUACUGACGCUGAGGCACGAAAGCGUGGGGAGCAAACAGGAUUAGAUACCCCUGUAGUC
Molecule: ribosomal RNA, 300 nt
Filed under: uncultured Aquimonas sp.
Lineage: Bacteria; Pseudomonadati; Pseudomonadota; Gammaproteobacteria; Lysobacterales; Lysobacteraceae
Description: bacterial SSU rRNA
Rfam family: Bacterial small subunit ribosomal RNA
Source: RNAcentral